UACGUAGGGGGCGAGCGUUGUCCGGAUUUAUUGGGCGUAAAGCGCGUGUAGGCGGUCCGGUAAGUCCGCUGUGAAAGUCGGGGGCUCAACCCUCGAAUGCCGGUGGAUACUGUCGGGCUAGAGUGCGGAAGAGGCGAGUGGAAUUCCUGGUGUAGCGGUGAAAUGCGUAGAUAUCGGAAGGAACAUCAGUGGCGAAAGCGACUUCCUGGUCCAGCAUCGACGUUCAGGCACGAAAGCGUGGGGAGCAAACAGG
This 253-nucleotide ribosomal RNA is filed under the name uncultured bacterium. RNAcentral describes it as "partial 16S ribosomal RNA". It matches the Rfam family "Bacterial small subunit ribosomal RNA", at positions 524 to 776 of the family's 1533-position model. The record is from RNAcentral.